Molecule: unclassified non-coding RNA, 276 nt
Filed under: Hevea brasiliensis (rubber tree)
Lineage: Eukaryota; Viridiplantae; Streptophyta; Magnoliopsida; Malpighiales; Euphorbiaceae
Source: RNAcentral
CAGACAAUGCUCAUUCUUCGCGUGAUAUGUCGCCAUUAUACCAUAUCCGCAAGUUUGAACGUCAAAGCCUUCAUCCUGUAAUUCUCGGAUUAGUGGCAGGCUUCCUGUAAUAGAAUAGGGCUUUACAUAGCCAACUACUUCCUUAGUUGCUUUGCACAAGACAUUAAAGCCACGGGAUUCAAGAUUACAAGCAACUCCAGACAUUACAUCCUCGUCAACACUGAUUGUUAGCCUUCCCCUUAAGUUUUCGUCUGGAAGAAUGUAUUUUGACACCGG